AUGACUUUCAUCAUCAUCUUCAUCUGGACACUCACAGUCUUUACUCAAGUGUGUAGAGGACAGUACACUGUUACUCAAAGUCCAUCAAUAACAGUUCAACCAGGACAACAAGUUCAAAUAAACUGUAAAGUCAGCAGUGCAGUGUAUGGUGGAAAUCGUUUAGCCUGGUACUUACAGAAACCUGGAGAAGCUCCUAAACUCCUCAUAUAUAGAGCAACAAGCCUCUAUACAGGAACUCCAUCAAGAUUCAGUGGCAGCGGAUCAAACACAGAUUUCACUUUGACCAUCAGUGGAGUUCAGACUGAAGAUUCAGGAGAUUAUUACUGUCAGAGUUUUCACUAUCCAAGUAGCACUAAUGUGUUGACACAGUGAUAAAGAGUGAUACAAAAACCUCUGACAGUCAGACUGCACAGUGACUGCACUCAUACACCUGACAGAUACUGCAGAUGAUCAUACAACACAAUAACACACAACACUGAUCACACAAAUAACACAACAUCAUCUUAUGAUCAACAGAAAUCAUGCUAAGGGCAGGUAUGUAUUUAUUUAUGAUAAGAUAAACACAGAUUAUUUUAACCUCCCUCUGUUUAUACUGCGUAUGCAUCAAACCAUAUUCAGACUCCUCAACUUCAAAUGAGAAUAAAAGAG
Molecule: non-coding RNA, 648 nt
Organism: Misgurnus anguillicaudatus (oriental weatherfish)
Lineage: Eukaryota; Metazoa; Chordata; Actinopteri; Cypriniformes; Cobitidae
Source: the annotation of a RefSeq genome assembly